Molecule: long non-coding RNA, 2660 nt
Filed under: Eucalyptus grandis
Lineage: Eukaryota; Viridiplantae; Streptophyta; Magnoliopsida; Myrtales; Myrtaceae
Description: long non-coding RNA (EGRA_LNC000440)
Source: RNAcentral
UAAAUUGUCUCUAAAAAAGAAAAUAAGACAAAGCAAAACAAGAAUCCAUUUUGUAAAGCCCUAAAGACUUAUCUAAUUUUAGGUUUUAGUUCUUUAAAGGGUUUUCUAAUAUAUAUAUAUAUAUAUAACCGGACAGGAUUUACCUGAUUCCCGGUCCGGCCCACCUGGAAAACAGGGUCGGGAACCGGUUCUGGUUGAAACCGGUCCAGGAAUCGGUUCCCAAACCUGAGACCCUAUUUGAACCGGUCUGGGAACCGAUUCCGAGGGUUUACCCACUCGGGAACCAAAUCGACCAGACCAGUUUGGGAACCGAUUGGAGGAUCGGUUUGUAAGCCCCCCAAAAAGACCAAAACCCUAAUUUCUACUUUCUAUCUUUACCGGCUUCCUCUCCUCCCGCGACACCCGCAGACGGCAGCUUGCAACCUCCGCCCGUCCGGCGUCCGCCGAUCCUGGUUCUGCUCGCCCACCAUCGCCCCCCGAAAUUGUGACACCGCGUUUGUCAACCCGGUUCCUAGCUGCUUGCCAACCUUGCUCCGAGCUCCCCUCCCGAAAUCGCGAAGCCAAUGCUGCCUCUGCCACUCUUGUCGCACCCCUCGCGGUCGCACCACCGCCGCCGUUCCGCCGGUCAUCUAAAGGUGAGUUGCUCUGGGUGUUUACAUAUGAGUGUUGUAUAGUAAUUAUUUUGCAAAACAGAUUCCAAUAUAAACAGGGUUAACCCUGUUCCCGGACCAGAAAAACAGUGUGGGUUGAGAACAGGGUCCAAUGCAAACAGAGUCAAGUACAGGGUCCAAAAAAAUAGAACCGGUUAUAACAGGGUCAGGUACAAAGUCCAGGUCUAGACCCUACCCAUCUUGGACCCAAUCACCCCUAAUAUAUAUAACAAAUUUUCCGAUUUUUUUACUUUUUUAUGCUCCAAAUUUUUUAAAUAUUUUUCCAAUUUUUUUAAUUGUUAAUGACUUUUCCAGAUUUUUUAAAUUCUUAAUGAUUUUCUAAAAUUCCAUUUAUUAUUAUUAUUAUUAUUAUUAUUAUUAUUAUUAUUAUUAUUAUUAUUAUUAUUAUUAUUAUUAUUAUUAUUUGAAUUUGCUAUUUUUUUUUGUUAUUUCCUCAAGUUUUAGAAUUUUUUUAUCAUCUUCCGAAUUUUUAUUUUUUUAAUAUCUUUUCGAUCCAAAUCCGUUAUAAGGAAAAGAAAAUUUUCAAUUUUUAGUUUUUUUAAUGAUUUUUCUAUCUUUUCUUCAUUUUUCUCUUUUGUCUUCUUCUUUGUUUUGUCUUUUCCCCCCGCACCAUCUUCUUCCUCCAGCUGUCUUCUUCCCGAAGCUUUCCUCACCCCUUCAACUUCAUCUUCAUUCAGCCAUUUAACCCAAACCAUAAACUCAAGGCAAUACCAUCUUCCACCUUAUUUUUUUUAUUUUCACCGAUAUGUAAAUCGCUGCCGAGCCACCACCAAUCAGUGAUCACUUGUUUUGACCGACGGCCACCAACUCUAGCCACUCCCGACGACCACAACCAUGAAAAAAAAAAAAAAUUAUCCAAAACUAAUGUCCCUUCCAUCCUAGCCUUUGUAACAAACAAACAAUCCCCGAUACACUACAAAGCGAAAAGAUAAACUGACUGGGAUGGCUUGAACCAUAAACUUUGCCGGCGAAAGGGGAGGUCUCCGACGAACAACCUUCAGGUAUGGGAAUAUGCAUACACGUUGAACUUGAACCCGGAUUUUCACUAAAUCGCAUGAGAACACAACAAAAACACAAAUGUCGACAGGAUCCAACUGAUGCAGAACACAAAUGUCAACAGGAUCCAACCGAUGUAGAAGCAAACACAAAUCGAUAUUAAAGUUCAAUGAAAAACGAGGUUCAGCCUUCUUUCAAGCAUAUUAUCAAGCACGUGCAAGUUCCCAUUCCGAUUCGGUUUUAGCAUCGUUCUCAGCAACCAGUGCAGGCUCCGAACACCAUCAUUAGCGACCAAAUAGCCUCGUUUCCUCAAGAUCUCCCCAAAAGCAGCAAUUGAUUCAUGGAAAUUUUUUUGGCCUUUUUUAGACAUUUUAGCAAACUUAUAACGUACACUUUAGUAGGCAAACUACAGAUAUGUGUUCAUGGCCGAAUGAUGUUCAAUCUCAACGUAUAGAAGCAUGAAUCAGCAUUCUCGGUCAUAGAUCGAUUUCAUUUCUAUAGAGGGUAUCCACGACCUCGAAGAACAAACCUCGGAUUUCAGUUAGUAAAAAUUUAAAAAAUUAAAAAAAAAAAAAUAAACGGCAUUAAGGAGUUAGCUCUUGCCUGUUUCAGAGAUGGAACCGUUGCAGCUGCCGUACAAACGCCCAAUGACCUUCUUUCUCAUCUGAGGAUCGAACCUGCGGCCUCCACCUAGCCGUGGACAGCAAAGGAGUUCGGCAGCCGUGCGCCGACUUCUCUGGCGAUCUUCCUUCCUCAGCCUCUCAAGACCUCUUUCUCCUUCUAGCUAGGAAGUCUGGUCUUUUAUUGAAAAAAUUCUUAGAAAGAACUCUCCUCUCGCUCGCGUGCGAGAGGGAAAGAGAAGAGCCGAAGGCUCGGCCUUCGUUGCUCUCUUCUCGAGCCUUCGGCUCUCUUCUUGGGGAGCCUUCGUUGAAGCGUCUCGCUCGCGUGCGAGAGGGAAAGAGGAGAGCAACGAAGGCUUCUCGAGCCUUCGGC